GACGAACGCUGGCGGCGUGCUUAACACAUGCAAGUCGAACGGAAAGGCCCUGCUUUUGUGGGGUGCUCGAGUGGCGAACGGGUGAGUAACACGUGAGUAACCUGCCCUUGACUUUGGGAUAACUUCAGGAAACUGGGGCUAAUACCGGAUAGGAGCUCCUGCUGCAUGGUGGGGGUUGGAAAGUUUCGGCGGUUGGGGAUGGACUCGCGGCUUAUCAGCUUGUUGGUGGGGUAGUGGCUUACCAAGGCUUUGACGGGUAGCCGGCCUGAGAGGGUGACCGGCCACAUUAGGACUGAGAUACGGCCCAGACUACUACGGGAGGCAGCAGUGGGGAAUAUUGCACAAUGGGCGGAAGCCUGAUGCAGCAACGCCGCGUGCGGGAUGACGGCCUUCGGGUUGUAAACCGCUUUCGCCUGUGACGAAGCGUGAGUGACGGUAAUGGGUAAAGAAGCACCGGCUAACUACGUG
Molecule: ribosomal RNA, 468 nt
Filed under: uncultured bacterium
Lineage: Bacteria
Description: partial 16S ribosomal RNA
Rfam family: Bacterial small subunit ribosomal RNA
Source: RNAcentral